UGCUUGCAUAAUGAAAUGGAGUAUACUCCAUAUCCUAUACGUGCACACUUGUAAAAAAAAAAAAAAACCUAAACUUGGUUUGAAGCUAUUUCAGAAUGCCUAAUAAAAUUUUGGGAUUUGAAAAAAAGCAGUCAAUGUUAGAGAUGGAGGGAAAUAAGCAAAAGGCUUCAUGUCUUCUGCUCUUGAAAUGACAGACUGCACUGCAUAUAAUUGCAGAGGAAUGCAGUUGCCGUGAUGACAGAACUAUAACCUUUCUAUCACAACUGUAUUUUUACUAAGUCUUAUUCAAUCAAAUUGCUGAAACAUAAUAUUAAAAAUUAAUUUUAUAUAUAAUACAGUACUGGACUUCAGUGUAAUCAGACUGAUGUAAACUUUCAUAUACUACCUCUUAAACUUCAACCAUUAGCAUCUUAUGGGGAGGGUGUUGUCUUGUGCUGGAGGAAUACAUGAAGGCUUAAUGUGUAUGCAUUUUUUAAAAUGUAAAAUCCAGAAUCUAAGUAAGGAAACUUAGAUUUUUAUUGUUUUAAUAUUCUGUUGUAUGUUUUUGUGUAUGUGUAAUACACACAUUCCCAAUUUUUGAUUGAAGCAUAUCUCAUUAUGUAUGAACAAAUAAUUUGGGCUUCUUCAUCACAGAAUGAAAGUUCUUGUGUUAUUUGUACUUAUUUACAACAGUGAGACAAAUGUAAACCCCUCUAAAGCAAUUUGGGGAUGGACUAGCCUUUAAGUGCACCUUAUCUGAAAGAGCGAAAUAUGGCUACAGUGGUACACUUUUUUGGAGUUACAGUAGAGUCUCACUUAUCCAACAUUCGCUUAUCCAACAUUCUGGAUUAUCCAACGCUUUUUUGAGGUCAAUGUUUUCAAUACAUUGUGAUAUUUUGGUGCUAAAUUCGUAAAUACAGUAAUUACUAUGUAGCAUUACUGCAUAUUGAACUACUUUUUCUGUCAAAUUUGUUGUAUAACAUGAUGUUUUGGUGCUUAAUUUGUAAAAUCAUAACCUAAUUUGAUGUUUAAUAGGCUUCUCUGCUGUGGCCCCCCGACUGUGGAAUUCACUGCCCAUUGAGAUUAGGCAAGCCCCCACAUUACUAGCCUUCAAGAAAGACUUAAAAACAUGGCUCUUCCGUUGUGCUUUUGGAGAGUAACUGUCAUAUACUUCUUUUUUGUUGCUCCCCCCCGCCCCCCAAUAUCUAUCCUCUAGACUGUACCACUAUCUUAUGACCCUGUUCCCCGUGGUUUUUAUUCUUAUUUCUUUCUCAUCCCGAGUUUUAACUUAGUGUUCAUGAGGCCCGCCCUGGUUUUUAUUGAUUUUCUGAUUUAGUGCUGUAUUAUGUAUAUUAUUAUCUA
Molecule: long non-coding RNA, 1341 nt
Filed under: Anolis carolinensis (green anole)
Lineage: Eukaryota; Metazoa; Chordata; Lepidosauria; Squamata; Anolidae
Description: lncRNA (ENSACAG00000038825.1)
Source: RNAcentral